AAAAAAAAAAAAAAAAAGAGCAAUCAGUGGGGAAGCCUCAUCUGAUUCUGAAACAACAAAAAAAUCACAGGCACACCCGUGGAGGCAGAAACAGAUGCGUUUUGCUGGUGGGGAUGGUUCAAGCUGAUCGAUUAGGUAACCUCUGGGACUCUCCUCUCUCCCGCAGCACUAAAUGAAACGGGCUUUCCCUGCGUGGACCGGUGAACAGGACCAAUCUGGGAGCUCCAGACCGACGAGACUCACUUUAGGGAAAUGACUCAACCGGGAGCGACACGCUCCUGGCUGGAAAAGGCACACAAAUAAGCACCCGCACACAGUUUAAAAGCUUAUUUUUAUUCUUUUUUUUUAAUUUUUAAUGCGGACUCCACAGUUGGGCCUCUCUCUUUUUCUCUUUCUCUCUCUCUUGGGAGCGCCGGUUUAAAUUCCCCGCAUAAACUGAAGAAGAUCCGAAAAGAGACAGACGGCGUAAAGUGGGUCACCGCUGCGCAUCGAUGCCGUUUUUGUUGCAUUUUUCAAACCAAAAAAAAAAAAAAAAAAAAAAAAAAAAAAAUCAAACAGAACAAGCGGAUGUGGCACCAAAUGUUUUUCGUUUGUUUUUUUUUCUGGUAGGGAAUUCACGUUUGGGAAGCAGAUGAAAUGCAAUAAUUGCCACUACUCUGUGAGCUGUCCACCCACCGCGCCACCCCUCCCCUCCUUCCUUCCUUCCUUCUCGUUUUUGCGCGCUGUGUCACACACUUCUCUCUCUCUCCACGCCCGUCCUGAGCUGUUGCUUAUUAACAUCCAAGUCUCUCGUCAGCCCCGUCGAAGCGCGUGAAAAAUCGGCUUAUCGGUUUUCCGCCGCGGCGUUUUGCGCCUGAUGAAGGGAGAAGAUGCGCUGCGCGCAAACCGGAGGAUGAGGAUAAACCAGGCUUAAGGGGCGGCGGGGUGGGAGGGGGACGUCUGUGAGAAAAAUGGGGGGGCAAGAAAAGUGACACUCUGUCCUCAUGGCGCGCUUCUUUUGAAACGCCUCAUCAUCAUGGACGCAUUGGCAUGUUGGCAUUUUAUCGCUGCCACAAAUAGGGAAUAAUUAUCAGAGAAAGAAGAAGAAAAAAAAAACAUGCCCAAAGCGCACGGAGGGACAACUCCAGAUCUAAAUGGCGGAGCUUGAAGUUUGCAGAAAUCUGAGUUUGGAGAGGGUGGAGCGAUGCAUGAGCGUGAUGCAGUCCGGGACGCAGAUGGUGAAGCUGAAGGCGGGAUCCAAAGGACUGGUUCGACUCUUCUACCUGGAUGAGCAUCGCUCCUGCAUCCGCUGGAAGCCUUCACGCAAGAGUGAGAAAGCAAAGAGUGAGUAGAAGGACUUUGAUGGACACAUCUGCUUUCGCAAUAACAUGUCAGCUAAUGUGCAGUCUGUGUUUUUAUUUUUAUUUUAAGACCGUUUUGCUUUAUUUUAGCUUCCAGGUUAGAUGCAUCUCUGUCAGAAUCACAGGGAAUAAUAAUAAUUAUAGUUAUGACAUGUUUUUUUAUUUUCUUGCCUUUCAGAGAUUUACAGAAUAAUAUAAUGAAGACCCAACAGUGGGUAUGGAAAGUAUUCAGACUACUUAAAAUUUUUCACUCUUUGUUUCAUUGCAGGCAUUUGCUAAAAUCGAAAGAGUUCAUAUUGUUUUUCAUGAAUGUACACUCACCUCGACAGAAAAAAAAUAAAUGUAGACAUUUUUGCAAAUUUAUUAA
This is an RNA transcript of Poecilia latipinna (sailfin molly), 1707 nucleotides long. It is a transcript of the gene named 1-phosphatidylinositol 4,5-bisphosphate phosphodiesterase eta-2, with no coding region annotated. Lineage: Eukaryota; Metazoa; Chordata; Actinopteri; Cyprinodontiformes; Poeciliidae. The record is from RefSeq and is a predicted model, not a curated record. The transcript has 2 exons.